UACGUAGGGUGCGAGCGUUUAAUCGGAAUUACUGGGCGUAAAGCGUGCGCAGGCGGUCUGUUAAGACCGAUGUGAAAUCCCCGGGCUUAACCUGGGAACUGCAUUGGUGACUGGCAGGCUUUGAGUGUGGCAGAGGGGGGUAGAAUUCCACGUGUAGCAGUGAAAUGCGUAGAGAUGUGGAGGAAUACCGAUGGCGAAGGCAGCCCCCUGGGCCAACACUGACGCUCAUGCACGAAAGCGUGGGGAGCAAACAGG
This 255-nucleotide ribosomal RNA is filed under the name uncultured bacterium. RNAcentral describes it as "partial 16S ribosomal RNA". It matches the Rfam family "Bacterial small subunit ribosomal RNA", at positions 524 to 776 of the family's 1533-position model. The record is from RNAcentral.